This is a non-coding RNA of Notechis scutatus (mainland tiger snake), 110 nucleotides long. The record is from RefSeq and is a predicted model, not a curated record. Lineage: Eukaryota; Metazoa; Chordata; Lepidosauria; Squamata; Elapidae.
UUUGGGAGGGAGGAUUUAGUAGAGUGUAUGUAGUUAGACAUAAUAGCAUUCUUCUUGUCGGUCAAGGUCAGGUUGUUCCUGCACCUGGAAGAGGCGGAGUAGAGGUCAAC